RNAcentral lists this ribosomal RNA (968 nucleotides) under Parageobacillus toebii. RNAcentral's name for it is "bacterial SSU rRNA". It matches the Rfam family "Bacterial small subunit ribosomal RNA", at positions 55 to 1002 of the family's 1533-position model. Lineage: Bacteria; Bacillati; Bacillota; Bacilli; Caryophanales; Anoxybacillaceae. The record is from RNAcentral.
AUGCAAGUCGAGCGGACCGAACGGAAGCUUGCUUCUGUUCGGUUAGCGGCGGACGGGUGAGUAACACGUGGGUAACCUGCCCGUAAGACCGGGAUAACUCCGGGAAACCGGGGCUAAUACCGGAUAACACCGAAGACCGCAUGGUCUUUGGUUGAAAGGUGGCUUUUGCUACCACUUACGGAUGGGCCCGCGGCGCAUUAGCUAGUUGGUGAGGUAACGGCUCACCAAGGCGACGAUGCGUAGCCGGCCUGAGAGGGUGACCGGCCACACUGGGACUGAGACACGGCCCAGACUCCUACGGGAGGCAGCAGUAGGGAAUCUUCCGCAAUGGACGAAAGUCUGACGGAGCGACGCCGCGUGAGCGAAGAAGGUCUUCGGAUCGUAAAGCUCUGUUGUUAGGGAAGAAGAAGUACCGUUCGAAUAGGGCGGUACGGUGACGGUACCUAACGAGAAAGCCCCGGCUAACUACGUGCCAGCAGCCGCGGUAAUACGUAGGGGGCGAGCGUUGUCCGGAAUUAUUGGGCGUAAAGCGCGCGCAGGCGGUCCCUUAAGUCUGAUGUGAAAGCCCACGGCUCAACCGUGGAGGGUCAUUGGAAACUGGGGGACUUGAGUGCAGAAGAGGAGAGCGGAAUUCCACGUGUAGCGGUGAAAUGCGUAGAGAUGUGGAGGAACACCAGUGGCGAAGGCGGCUCUCUGGUCUGUAACUGACGCUGAGGCGCGAAAGCGUGGGGAGCAAACAGGAUUAGAUACCCUGGUAGUCCACGCCGUAAACGAUGAGUGCUAAGUGUUAGAGGGGUUUUCCCUUUAGUGCUGUAGCUAACGCGUUAAGCACUCCGCCUGGGGAGUACGGCCGCAAGGCUGAGACUCAAAGGAAUUGACAGGGGCCCGCACAAGCGGUGGAGCAUGUGGUUUUAUUCGAAAGCAACGCGAAGAACCUUACCAGGUCUUGACAUCCCCUGACAACCCUG